GCCUGAUGGAGGGGGAUAACUACUGGAAACGGUAGCUAAUACCGCAUAACGUCGCAAGACCAAAGAGGGGGACCUUCGGGCCUCUUGCCAUCGGAUGUGCCCAGAUGGGAUUAGCUUGUUGGUGGGGUAACGGCUCACCAAGGCGACGAUCCCUAGCUGGUCUGAGAGGAUGACCAGCCACACUGGAACUGAGACACGGUCCAGACUCCUACGGGAGGCAGCAGUGGGGAAUAUUGCACAAUGGGCGCAAGCCUGAUGCAGCCAUGCCGCGUGUAUGAAGAAGGCCUUCGGGUUGUAAAGUACUUUCAGCGGGGAGGAAGGGAGUAAAGUUAAUACCUUUGCUCAUUGACGUUACCCGCAGAAGAAGCACCGGCUAACUCCGUGCCAGCAGCCGCGGUAAUACGGAGGGUGCAAGCGUUAAUCGGAAUUACUGGGCGUAAAGCGCACGCAGGCGGUUUGUUAAGUCAGAUGUGAAAUCCCCCGG
Molecule: ribosomal RNA, 484 nt
Filed under: Escherichia coli
Lineage: Bacteria; Pseudomonadati; Pseudomonadota; Gammaproteobacteria; Enterobacterales; Enterobacteriaceae
Description: bacterial SSU rRNA
Rfam family: Bacterial small subunit ribosomal RNA
Source: RNAcentral